GACGAACGCUGGCGGCGUGCUUAACACAUGCAAGUCGAACGGAAAGGCCCUGCUUUUGUGGGGUGCUCGAGUGGCGAACGGGUGAGUAACACGUGAGUAACCUGCCCUUGACUUUGGGAUAACUUCAAGAAACUGGGGCUAAUACCGGAUAGGAGCUCCUGCUGCAUGGUGGGGGUUGGAAAGUUUCGGCGGUUGGGGAUGGACUCGCGGCUUAUCAGCUUGUUGGUGGGGAAGUGGCUUACCAAGGCUUUGACGGGUAGCCGGCCUGAGAGGGUGACCGGCCACAUUGGGACUGAGAUACGGCCCAGACUCCUACGGGAGGCAGCAGUGGGGAAUAUUGCACAAUGGGCGGAAGCCUGAUGCAGCAACGCCGCGUGCGGGAUGACGGCCUUCGGGUUGUAAACCGCUUUCGCCUGUGACGAAGCGUGAGUGACGGUAAUGGGUAAAGAAGCACCGGCUAACUACGUG
Molecule: ribosomal RNA, 468 nt
Filed under: uncultured bacterium
Lineage: Bacteria
Description: partial 16S ribosomal RNA
Rfam family: Bacterial small subunit ribosomal RNA
Source: RNAcentral